Molecule: long non-coding RNA, 643 nt
Filed under: Mytilus galloprovincialis (Mediterranean mussel)
Lineage: Eukaryota; Metazoa; Mollusca; Bivalvia; Mytilida; Mytilidae
Source: RNAcentral
CGCCGUUACCAUGGAAAUUUCAAAAAUUUCAAAAUGCUCCAAAAUUGAUGAAACUUUACGACAAUGUGAAUAGACAUCUGUAAAUGCGGUCUUUGACAUUUGAACUUUCAAAAUGGCUGCCUCUCACCUGGCAAUAGGGGAAGGGUGCCAUCCGCUAUUGCUUGCAAUCGCAAAUCUAGUUAUGGCACCCUCAACGGAGUUGGGGUGACAUAUUGUUAUUGUUCGUUUCUUUUUUUCAUAUUAUUAUUAUGGCACCCUCAACGGAGUUGGGGUGACAUAUUGUUAUUCUACGUUUCUUUUUUUUCUUAUUAUUAUGUCACCCGAUCGACAAUGUCGGGUGACAUAUUGCUUUUCCUCUAUUAUUAUUAUUUUUCUUCCACCUAAUUUUGUCCGGCAGUUUUCUCAGAGCCAAAGGAACCAAUCUAAAUGAUGGUGCACUGUAACAAGGAACCCUGACUUUCCUGUUGCUUUCUGGUAUUGGAACUAAAAAAAUGGCUGCCAUCACCAUGGAAACGGAAAAAUGGUGAAAAAUAUAAUUUUGGAGUUAGGUGAAUUGUUUGAGAAUGCUUAACCUUAAAAUCUUUAGAUUUUAAUACAAUGUAGGUGCCCACUAUAUACUGCAUUGGGAUGAUUUUGGCAAUCA